RNAcentral lists this ribosomal RNA (498 nucleotides) under uncultured bacterium. Its description in RNAcentral is "bacterial SSU rRNA". It matches the Rfam family "Bacterial small subunit ribosomal RNA", at positions 29 to 520 of the family's 1533-position model. The record is from RNAcentral.
AUUAAACGCUGGCGGCAUGCCUUACACAUGCAAGUCGAACGGCAGCACGGGGGCAACCCUGGUGGCGAGUGGCGAACGGGUGAGUAAAGCAUCGGAACGUGCCCUGGAGUGGGGGAUAACGUAGCGAAAGUUACGCUAAUACCGCAUAUUCUGUGAGCAGGAAAGCAGGGGAUCGCAAGACCUUGCGCUCUGGGAGCGGCCGAUGUCGGAUUAGCUAGUUGGUGGGUAAAGGCCUACCAAGGCGACGAUCCGUAGCGGGUCUGAGAGGAUGAUCCGCCACACUGGGACUGAGACACGGCCCAGACUCCUACGGGAGGCAGCAGUGGGGAAUUUUGGACAAUGGGCGAAAGCCUGAUCCAGCCAUGCCGCGUGAGUGAAGAAGGCCUCGGGUUGUAAAGCUCUUUCAGUUGAGAAGAAAAAGUACGUAGACUAAUAAUCAUGAUUCAUGACGGUAUCAACAGAAGAAGCACCGGCUAACUACGUGCCAGCAGCCGACGG